CUAGUCUUUUCAAAGCACAGGACUGCGUCUCUCACCACCACAGCCAGGCAGCUGCUCUUCUAGCUUCUGAUUAUCAUCCCCAAGCCAUGCCUUGGUCAUUUCUGAGUUGAACAAAAUCAUGGAAGAUGUGACUGUCAAGUGGAGACAUCGAGCCUUUCUGCUGCCCUCAGCAUCUCCCAGCAGCCUCUCUGGUUCAAGACUUUCUUUGUCUCUAGAAGUUGCUCCAGGAUCCCAGACUGUAUUGCUAAGCCAUUGCCAACGAUUUGCACUUCUGUCGUCCCUUUCAUCUGGGAACCACAAGGCCAUCUGAAACUUCUCUGAUCAGCUUCAGAGGAGUCCCCUCUAUCAGUUAAGAAUUGUACUCUACACUGAGAAGCAGGUAUUGCAUUUGUUGGUCGCAAGGAUAAUCCCCCAAAUUCCCACAGCAUCCAGAUGAAGUUGUCUACUGUCCACAGGAUGUUCAGCAAAGACACCGGGAUGUAUUUGCCUGAAGAAGAACGGAAGAGAACUGAAAAGAGACAUCUAAGGGGAUGACGUUGUCAUCGGGCCAUUAAUACCUGAACUGCAUUUUAUUUCACAGAGGGCCUCAGGUACUCACAUAGCCCUACAGUGUGGAAUCAAUGUCUGAGAAACCAGGAAGAAAAUCUGACCCAAAGCUAGUGGAAAGGCAGAGAGAGAAGCUGAUACCUUCAGGAACAGCGAAUGCCACACUUGUUUCUGCUCCCCCUGGAUUUAUCAUGGAAGGUGAUCUAAUCCAUCCAUUCCCAGAAGAGAGUGUGUUGUAGCACUGGGUAUUUAUUCUCAGCAUGCCAAAGUUCUGUGCCCACAGAAAAGGUCCACCUCGCCUACUGUCAAGACUUUGGGUAGAUGUGUGGAUGCUCAGAUGCCUUGCUCCUUUCUCCUUUCUCAUGCAUGUUUCUGGCUUUGUGUAUUCCCUGGAUUUUGCCCAUGUCCUUCAUCACUGUGGGCUCCAAGAUACACUUUACUUGGUCUGUGAAAAACAGCUGACUCAACUGAAAACCUCCAUGGACUUCUUCACUAUUGAUUCAGGGUGGACUCUACUUGCAUUGGUGAAAUUCCAGCCUGGGUUACUUCUGUCCAGUCUUAAUACUGAAAUUCUAGAGAGUAGCCACCCAAUCUGGAAGCCACGACAAAACUCUUGAUGGACGUGGGGAACUAGGUCAAUAUGUCACAUCCACAUCAUCCUAGAUCAGAUUGCCUGGGGACACAAUGACCAAGCUUUCCCAUCCAUAGAAGACAUGCUUCAGGCUGUCCCUACAGGCCCCCUCCAGCUCUUUAAGAGAGAUCCUUAGGGAGGCCCUGGUCUUUGUCAGAGACUGGGGUUGGUGGAGGGUGGCUAAUCUGUAAGUCUCCAGAAAACUAUGUGUCUGUCCUAUACAAUCUCAGCAAGCUGUUGGCCCAAAGUCUUGUGUUUUGCACUAACCAUGUAUCUCUCACUUCAUAUUAAACAAUACCCUCAACUUUUCAUCCUGAAAUCUCUUCUUGGUACAUUUGUUCAUUUUUCAUUCAUCUUUUCCUUUCUAAAUUUUCAAUGAUGUCCCUGAAUCAGGUGCAGAGAGAUGGCUCAAUUAAAAUAGUAGGGAGUGAACAUUACACUGGAAAUAAAUGUGGUAUAUUUAAGAAUUUAUGACAGGUUUUGAGACAGAUGUUGAUUUUACUUCAAAAUAAAGUACAGUUAUUUUAUGCAACUUUCAUGAGUAA
This 1722-nucleotide long non-coding RNA is filed under the name Mus musculus (house mouse). Its description in RNAcentral is "predicted gene 28564". The record is from RNAcentral. Lineage: Eukaryota; Metazoa; Chordata; Mammalia; Rodentia; Muridae.